UAAAACUCAAAUGAAUUGACGGGGGCCCGCACAAGCGGUGGAGCAUGUGGUUUAAUUCGAUGCAACGCGAAGAACCUUACCUGGUCUUGACAUCCACAGAAGAAUCCAGAGAUGGAUUUGUGCCUUCGGGAACUGUGAGACAGGUGCUGCAUGGCUGUCGUCAGCUCGUGUUGUGAAAUGUUGGGUUAAGUCCCGCAACGAGCGCAACCCUUAUCCUUUGUUGCCAGCGAUUAGGUCGGGAACUCAAAGGAGACUGCCAGUGAUAAACUGGAGGAAGGUGGGGAUGACGUCAAGUCAUCAUGGCCCUUACGACCAGGGCUACACACGUGCUACAAUGGCGCAUACAAAGAGAAGCGACCUCGCGAGAGCAAGCGGACCUCAUAAAGUGCGUCGUAGUCCGGAUUGGAGUCUGCAACUCGACUCCAUGAAGUCGGAAUCGCUAGUAAUCGUGGAUCAGAAUGCCACGGUGAAUACGUUCCCGGGCCUUGUACACACCGCCCGUCACACCAUGGGAGUGGGUUGCAAAAGAAGUAGGUAGCUUAACCUUCGGGAGGGCGCUUACCACUUUGUGAUUCAUGACUGGGGUGAAGUCGUAACAAGGUAACCGUAGGGGAACCUGCGGUUGGAUCACCUCCUUACCUUAAAGAA
RNAcentral lists this ribosomal RNA (648 nucleotides) under Salmonella enterica subsp. enterica serovar Typhimurium. RNAcentral describes it as "bacterial SSU rRNA". It matches the Rfam family "Bacterial small subunit ribosomal RNA", at positions 895 to 1533 of the family's 1533-position model. The record is from RNAcentral. Lineage: Bacteria; Pseudomonadati; Pseudomonadota; Gammaproteobacteria; Enterobacterales; Enterobacteriaceae.